This 461-nucleotide ribosomal RNA is filed under the name Morus alba (white mulberry). RNAcentral describes it as "eukaryotic LSU rRNA". The stretch from base 321 to 461 matches the Rfam family "Eukaryotic large subunit ribosomal RNA", at positions 1 to 141 of the family's 3401-position model. The record is from RNAcentral. Lineage: Eukaryota; Viridiplantae; Streptophyta; Magnoliopsida; Rosales; Moraceae.
UGCAGAAUCCCGUGAACCAUCGAGUCUUUGAACGCAAGUUGCGCCUGAAGCCAUCAGGCUGAGGGCACGUCUGCCUGGGCGUCAAACACCGAUGCCCCCCCAAAUCCCCUCGUCACUCUCCCCUGAGUGCCCGGGGAGUGUGGGGGUCGGAUGAUGGCCUCCCGUGUCUUGGCUCGCGGUUGGCCCAAAGUCGAGUCCUCGGUCACGGUUACCGUGGUGACAGGUGGUUGUCGGUCGCUCGGUACCUCGUCACGUGCGCCGGACACGAAUCGAGACUCUCUUGAUUACCCCAACGCAUCCCCGUUUGGGUGCCUCUGAUGUGACCCCAGGUCAGGCGGGGCUACCCGCUGAGUUUAAGCAUAUCAAUAAGCGGAGGAAAAGAAACUUACGAGGAUUCCCCUAGUAACGGCGAGCGAACCGGGAAAAGCCCAGGUUGAGAAUCGAUCGCCCCCGGUGUUCGA